Molecule: unclassified non-coding RNA, 339 nt
Filed under: soil metagenome
Description: partial contains 5.8S ribosomal RNA, internal transcribed spacer 2, and large subunit ribosomal RNA
Rfam family: 5.8S ribosomal RNA (bases 1-120)
Source: RNAcentral
GAUGAAGAACGUGGCGAAAUGCGAUAAGUAAUGUGAAUUGCAGAAUUCAGUGAAUCAUCGAAUCUUUGAACGCACAUUGCGCCCAUUAGUAUUCUAGUGGGCAUGCCUGUUCGAGCGUCAUUUCAACCCUCAAGCUCUCUUGCUUGGUGUUGGGGCUUCUGCGGCUUCGGCCGCAGGCCCUGAAAAACAGUGGCGGGCUCGCUAUAACUCCGAGCGUAGUAAUCUCUCUCGCUUUGGAAGUGUGGCGGUUCCCGGCCGUUAAACCCCCCAAUUUCUGAAUGUUGACCUCGGAUCAGGUAGGAAUACCCGCUGAACUUAAGCAUAUCAAUAAGCGGAGGA